GACGGAUGGGGCUAGCGUUGUUCGGAAUUACUGGGCGUAAAGGGCGCGUAGGCGGCCAUUUAAGUUAGACGUGAAAGCCCUGGGCUUAACCUAGGAACUGCGUUUAAUACUGGAUGGCUAGAGUAUGGUAGAGGAAAGCGGAAUUCCUAGUGUAGAGGUGAAAUUCGUAGAUAUUAGGAAGAACACCAGAGGCGAAGGCGGCUUUCUGGACCAUUUACUGACGCUGAGGCGCGAAAGCGUGGGGAGCAAACAGG
Molecule: ribosomal RNA, 254 nt
Filed under: uncultured bacterium
Lineage: Bacteria
Description: partial 16S ribosomal RNA
Rfam family: Bacterial small subunit ribosomal RNA
Source: RNAcentral